RNAcentral lists this non-coding RNA (29 nucleotides) under Rattus norvegicus (Norway rat). The record is from RNAcentral. Lineage: Eukaryota; Metazoa; Chordata; Mammalia; Rodentia; Muridae.
ACCCAACUGAUAUACUGGGAUGAAGCUGU